UGUCAGCCGCCGCGGUAAUACGUAGGGUGCGAGCGUUAAUCGGAAUUACUGGGCGUAAAGCGUGCGCAGGCGGUUUCGUAAGACAGACGUGAAAUCCCCGGGCUCAACCUGGGAACUGCGUUUGUGACUGCGAGGCUAGAGUACGGCAGAGGGGGGUAGAAUUCCACGUGUGCAGUGAAAUGCGUAGAGAUGUGGAGGAAUACCGAUGGCGAAGGCAGCCCCCUGGGUUAGUACUGACGCUCAUGCACGAAAGCGUGGGGAGCAAACAGGAUUAGAUACCCUGGUAGUCCACGCCCUAAACGAUGUCAACUAGGUGUUGGAAGGGUUAAACCUUUUAGUACCGCAGCUAACGCGUGAAGUUGACCGCCUGGGGAGUACGGCCGCAAGGUUAAAACUCAAAUAAAUUGACGG
Molecule: ribosomal RNA, 411 nt
Filed under: uncultured Rhodocyclaceae bacterium
Lineage: Bacteria; Pseudomonadati; Pseudomonadota; Betaproteobacteria; Rhodocyclales; Rhodocyclaceae
Description: bacterial SSU rRNA
Rfam family: Bacterial small subunit ribosomal RNA
Source: RNAcentral